UACGGAGGGAGCUAGCGUUGUUCGGAAUUACUGGGCGUAAAGGGUGCGUAGGCGGGUCUUUAAGUCAGGGGUGAAAUCCUGGAGCUCAACUCCAGAACUGCCUUUGAUACUGAAGAUCUUGAGUUCGGGAGAGGUGAGUGGAACUGCGAGUGUAGAGGUGAAAUUCGUAGAUAUUCGCAAGAACACCAGUGGCGAAGGCGGCUCACUGGCCCGAUACUGACGCUGAGGCACGAAAGCGUGGGGAGCAAACAGG
This 253-nucleotide ribosomal RNA is filed under the name uncultured bacterium. RNAcentral describes it as "partial 16S ribosomal RNA". It matches the Rfam family "Bacterial small subunit ribosomal RNA", at positions 524 to 776 of the family's 1533-position model. The record is from RNAcentral.